GCCAUGCAUGUGUUAGUAUAAACGAUUUUAUACUGUAAAACUGCGAACGGCUCAUUAUAUCAGUUAUAGUUUAUUUGAUACUUUUUCACUAUUGGAUAACCGUAGUAAUUCUAGAGCUAAUACAUGCUUACAAUCCCAACUCACGGCGGGAUGUAUUUAUUAGAUUUCAAUCAACAUUAAUUGCUGACUCAUGAUAACUAAGCGGAUCGCAGAGGCCUCGUGCCGGCGACAAAUCAUUCAAGUUUCUGCCCUAUCAGCUUUCGAUGGUAGUGUAUUGGACUACCAUGGCAUUAACGGGUAACGGAGAAUUAGGGUUCGAUUCCGGAGAGGGAGCCUGAGAAACGGCUACCACUUCUAAGGAAGGCAGCAGGUGCGCAAAUUACCCAAUCCCAACUCUGGGAGGUAGUGACAAUACAUAUCAAUGCCGGGCCUUUUAGGCUUCGGCAAUUGGAAUGAGAACAAUCUAAAACCCUUAACGAAUUCCAUUGGAGGGCAAGUCUGGU
This 503-nucleotide ribosomal RNA is filed under the name eukaryotic picoplankton environmental sample. RNAcentral describes it as "bacterial SSU rRNA". It matches the Rfam family "Eukaryotic small subunit ribosomal RNA", at positions 48 to 565 of the family's 1831-position model. The record is from RNAcentral.